UGAGUAUUUAGCUAGUACUUGAAUAAAAAAGGGUUAAUUUCAUAUUGGUUUCUACAAACAUAGUGAAUAGUAAAUAUAUCUCUACAAAGCUCAAUUUUUAUAUGUUACUCCUACAAAAGUCCUGAUUUUUUAAAUAUAUCUCUGCCGUUAGAAUUCACUAGAAAAUUUUAGUUAAUUAUAGGUUAAAUACUUCAUUUUGAUUAGUUUUUUAUAUUUUUACCACUCUUCUAUUAUAUUGUUAUGAUUUUUGGUGUGACAUAUUUAUAAAAAUAAAAUUAAAAAUAUAAACGGUUCUCUAAUAAUUCUUCAACGAUAACAAAUCAGAUAAAUAUAUUUAAAACAUUAAAGCGUUUUGCACGAAAAAUAUAUAAAAAUUAAAUUUUAUAAUAAUAUAUUUAUUAUUUAUUAUAUUUGUAGGAAGAUACAUAAAAUUAAGGGUAACUUCAAAUACCCUCCUGUGGUUUCACACUUUCUCACUUUAGGAUUCUGUGGUUUAAAGUGUAUCAAGUUAGCCUAUGUGGUUUCGCACUUUUUCACUUUAGUAUCCUGUGGUUUAAAGUGUAUUAAGUUAGUACUCUGUGGUUUUAUUUUAAUUCUUUUAUUAUUGAUUUUACUAAUUUUUUUCGUUAAAGCAGUGACAAAGUUAAAACCAAAGAGUACUAAAAUGAAUAUUCGAUAAAUCUAGAUAGAGUAUUUAAAUUUUUAUAUAUAAUUUAAUAAAAUAUUAACAAAAAAUCUAACGAAAAAUAAAAUAAAAUUAUAGAAUACUAACUUGAUACACUUCGAACUGUAGAGUACUAAAAUGAUAAAGUGCAAAAUCACGGAGUGAUUUUUGAAGUUUUUUUAUAAAAUUAACCCUU
This 860-nucleotide long non-coding RNA is filed under the name Ananas comosus (pineapple). RNAcentral describes it as "long non-coding RNA (ACOM_LNC023421)". Lineage: Eukaryota; Viridiplantae; Streptophyta; Magnoliopsida; Poales; Bromeliaceae. The record is from RNAcentral.